RNAcentral lists this long non-coding RNA (32909 nucleotides) under Ananas comosus (pineapple). The record is from RNAcentral. Lineage: Eukaryota; Viridiplantae; Streptophyta; Magnoliopsida; Poales; Bromeliaceae.
UUUAGUUAGCUCUCCUCCUUUUGCAUUAGCCUUACCCUGUAUUUAUGUUUGAGCGUAGAUGAUGUAUAGGGUGAGGUUGAGGGAAUGGUGUAUACAUUGUAUAGUUUUGAAAGAACGCAAGUUGUAAUAACUGUAUAAAGUUAAAUGGAUCAAUAGAUAAGUAUCUCUCUCUUUUAUCACUUGUAUACCUUACUUGUGUUGCUUGCUCUUGAUGGUUAAGCACUGAUUGUGCUCUCGUGGCUGUUAAAUGAUUGUGUCCGUAAUCAAGUUAUUUCCUGGGAACUUGUGGUACACAAUCUUGUUGUUGGUGCCUUGGGCGGACAGGGAAGGUGCUGUCCGUUCGGCGGUCCGUUCGCCGCGCCUGAACUGUGCCAAAUUGGUAGCGGGCUCGGGGCGGGGGCGUGACAAAAACUGCAAGGACUUAAAAAUUUCUUUUCAGUAUUGGUUGACAAAAAAAAGGUUGAAAAGGUGACAACCUAUGUUAACUAAAAUAUUACGAAAGCACGAUAAAGUACAAGCUCUGAAAUCACCUUGUUCGUAAAUCAUGAUUCAUCAACUUGAAUGGGCUACACUUGUGUGGUUUAGUGAAAAUGUAUAUUAAACAACAGUUACAGCAUUGAGCUACAAAAUAAAAGAGAAAAGAAAAAAAAAAAAAACAUUUGAGCGCAAAUUUUAUCUGUUCAUCGAAUUCAAAGUGCGGAUUUUUCCACAUGAUCCCUACAUUUUUACUUUCAUCAUCCUCUUUAUCGAGGUUCUUCAAGAAAAUGUGAAAAUAUCGACCCCUUCCGAAGCUUUAUAAAUUUAUAUCUUCUAUACAAAUAUUCUUGGAGAAAAUCUUCGAUUCCGCGCUACCUGAUCAAGCUUCCGGCACUUUUGUAACAAGGUUGGUAUUCUCCUGCAGUGUCAUAAAAAGGCAAAUAGUGAAUGAAAAAUCUGAAGCUCAGGGAAAGUAGGGUUACGUAUUAAUACAAAUUGACCAAUGAAGAUGAUUCUCCUUUAGAUAUAUGAUCGAAAUUUGUUUUCGAAAUUUCUACACCACUAAAGGGUUGACAUUGAUAAAGCAAAUAAUCCUAAGGAUAUGAACUAAGAAUAUAUUCCGCACGCAAUUCCAAGGAGGGUGUGGAAUAAAGGCACUAAUUAUGUUGCAUAAAAGAUACGGAUAAGGAAAACGAAAAUGGCUCUAGAGGAUGUAGAAAAGCCAACCUUGUCUUUCCCUCCUCACUAUAUAUUCAUGUUGAAUCCAGCAAACAAGUUAGCACGCCGAGAGAAGAAGAGAAGUCUUGCGUGGUGAUAAGAGCUAAUCUUUGAUAGCCAAGGAUGACUUGCCUGCGACCUCUUUGAAGCCUUUGUUAACUUCGAAAGCUGCGUGUGGUCUCAUAGGCGAUCUCCUUGGCUAGUCUAAGUGGCCCUUAUCUCCCCAUGCUAGACAACAAUCUUCUAUAUAAUCAAAUCGAUAAAGUAGAGAAGUAGAUAUAUAUUUAACUCGUGACAGCUAUACACAUAAUUACCGGAAAUGUCAGAGCAAUUCCAUGCCACAUUUCAAUUGGCCUAACCUGUUAAAACGUCUACAAAAUAGAGAUAACCUUAUAUAUGUUUUAUCGUAUGGUUUCUACCGUGCUCUUGUGUACUUUUCUAUAUUUUUUUAAAUGAACCUUCAUGUCAAGUGCAAAAUGGCAACUGUUGGAUAGCGGUGGACAGAUAGGGAGACGAGAAAGAGAAAGAAGAGAAGAAAUAACCUUGGUCACAUCUAAUAACAUAUCUUACAGUUUCAUUGCUCAGAACCUGAUUACACGGAGGUCCCUUAGGGCUUGUUUAAAGACUUUUUAAGACGAGAACUUUUGCAACCAAAUGAUUUGUCGUUACCUACAAGAUUGUUUACUUAUGUAACACUGACAACUUAAAAUAGUUAUCCUUAUAUUAAUGGAUAUUUUGAUAUCCAAAGUACUUACUAAACAAAAAUCCAAAAAAAUACUGAAAACUACAGAUAGUAGAUUUGACUUGACGGAUCUUUGACUCAGCCGAACUCAACCAGACUGAACCAAUACUAAAACACAUUUCAAACAUCUUCUAGUGUGGGCCUAUGUGGGGUGUGACAAUUUUCCAUGGUUAAUUUCAAACAUCCUUAUAAGGAACUACAAAUCCAUGUGGCAGAUCAGAAGGACUAAAAUCUAUAAUAAAGUAAUAACAACAAAAGAAUCGUAGAACUUUCAUGAUGGUGAUUGCUGAAAAACAAAACUGCUGAAACAGUGAUACAAAAAGCACAAUACGUUCUGAUAUGUCAUAAUUCAUUAUCUUGAACAACUAAUGUAAGUUCGUAGCAUGUUAUAUUAGUAUGACAGAAUAAUUGCAUAAAACAAGUAACCUGAUUUUCAAAUAUAAUUAUAUGUCCUUGGAACUAAUACAAGAAUUUCUUCGUAUAUACGAUCUUCAAUUUACCUUCUAAAAGGGAUUCAACGGACAGCAUUUAUCUCUUACUAAAUCUUUAUAUACACACAUAACUUGCUUUUUCAAGUAAAGUAGUUAGUAUAAUCUAUUGCAGCAACUUCCUGCCAAUAUUAUUACAACCAGCAUACAGUCAAAAAUUUUCACGAGUAUACAGGUUAGGCUAGUCAGAUUCAUGCAAAAUAAAGUUAAUAACCAUUCAAAAGGAUAUCAAUGUGAUUGAUGCUGAUCACACAAGAUAAUUACACAUAUUAUUCGAUAAAUUCUGAAUGGAUAAAUAGUAACUAAAGCUUCUUAAACUACCAUUUGGUGCGGCAUAUUUUUCAUUGAUCUCACGUUGAUAAAUAGUAGCAUACAUUCUAUAUCAAUUUCGAUCUCUCCCUUUCAUUGUUACUACCUCUUCCUCUUGUUUCUUCCAAUCAGGCUAAAUCUCAAAACAAAGUUUACAUAGUUGAUGCAAAGUUUAAGAUGGUUUUUAAUUUCUAAGUGGUGUCUUGAGAAACAAAAAAAAAAAGAAGCCAAAAUUGAAACAAUAUGCUUAGCAAGCAUAAAUUUUGCACAAAAUAUCAUAAAGCGUGAAAAGUUAUGUUAGAUACUAAUGGGCCAUAAAAAUAUCACCUAAGAAUCUUGGAGCAAUCACCCACAAUGACGAGAAGCAAGAACAAACAGAAGAAGCAGAUCAAGAGCUUAACAACGAUAUACACUACAUGUUGGAGGAAAAAAGCAUGCAAUAACUUGGCUUGAAGAUGCGUGGACUGCUGGGAAGAUACGUCCAUGCCCUAAAUUUGGCUUUCAUUUCUACUCUCCACUUUUCAUAGAAUAUAUGGAUGAGAUUAGCUUGUUUUGUUGCAUAGUUAUAAAAAUAGUAGCAUCCCAAAAUCGUUAGGCAUGCAAAAUCAAAACAGACAUAACACCGGAUUGUCCCCAGGUAGUUGAUUUGACGAUGAACCUUCGCUUCCACCAUUUUUUCUGCUAAAUAAUCUUUGAUUAACCCUCAUUUCUAGGCUCAUAGCCCUUGCCUGCAUUUUUUCUGUUAUCCUCUGAGAAUGAAAACACUAUUCUAACUCUCACAUUCAAUUCUAUGAGCAAAGCAAAAAGGAAACAAAAUUUUGCAUUUAUCCCAACUCCUUUAAGCUUGUAAAUCAUUGAAAAUUUGUGUCAACAAAUCUAGCCUUAAUUCUACCGAAACAAAAACCAUGGAAUUCAACAAAAAUAGAAUAAAAAAGGGAGAACAUGAUAGAGAGUUUUGGUUUAAAAUAAUUUAAUCAAUAGACAAAUGAAUGGCAGAUCUUCUUCAAUUAAUGAGCAAGAAAGAAAGCACAAAGCUGUAUUUUGUUGAAAUUGAACACCAUCAAAAUCCAUGUAUGACACAGCAAAUGGCCUUUUUUGAUGAGUUGGACGCUGAAAUAUUCACUCUAAUAGAUUAGUUCAGGACCAAACCUAGAUAUCUUCUGCUCACAAUUUUCUUUUCAUUUUUCCUAAGUUCAGAUUUCUUCAAUUUUUGUGCUGGUUCCUGAAUUGCUCUCUCUGUUUGAUCUCUUAUUGGUUGUUUUAGAUGUGCCAAUUUGAAAUGUCAAUACUGCUUAGUUGACAGUAAUGACACUUAGACCAAGGAUUUAAGUGCCGUGGCACGGGGUUGUGUCGUAAACUUGCCGACACGGUACGGCAUGGCACGUGCCGAGUAGUGCCGAUGCGUGCCGGUCAAAAAAAUUCUUGUGUGCCGACACAUAAUAGCAUGAAAUAUUUAUUUUCUUUAGCAACAAAAUAUUCUAACUAUUUAAUAUUUCUUUUUAUCACAUCUUUUGAACUUUAUUGAGAAAAUUACGUACUAAUUUAAAGAAUAGAGGGUUUUAAGCUGUGCCAUCGGCAUGGGGUCUGUAUCGUGUCGGUAUCUUGUUGGCACGGUACGGCACGAUGGAUACGGCUCGUGCCGACUGGCACUUAAAACCUUGACUUAGACUACACUCGAGUAAAUAUCAAAUGCAAAUCGAAGAACCAAAUCUUCCCUUAGUGGUACAGGUCACUUAUUUCAGAAAGGGGAACAAAUUGUUCGCCAAAUCUCUCCAAAUACAUCUCAUGAAGAAAUGUUUUGUUAUUUGGAAAUUAUAUUAGCAUCCAGCCCUACUUAGAACCGGUCAAUAUUCGCGAUUAGUGCCAAAAGAGGAAAGUGGCGAUAACAAUUAGACGAAAGAGGUUCUCAUAUUCCGAUCAUUUUUGAAUCAUGAAAUACACAAGGCCCUAAGAUAUGUAAAAUAUAAAGAAUUUUUGUCAGCAAUAGUAGAACAACUGGAAAAAUUAUUGGUGAUAUAGCAAACCCUCUCUGAAAGUAAAUGUUUCAACCGCAUAAUUUUUCCGAGUCAGAGCACAAGAAGAGUUGACCAUGGUAUGGACAACAAUUCUAGCAAUUUGAGUCGAGAAUAUAUUCUAAAUAAACUGAGGUCACUAUAUCAUUUAAAGGCAACAAAAGAAAACAGCACAAACCAGCAUAGUUCUAAAGGAAUUGCAAAACAGAAUCUGAUCUUUCCAUGCUUUCCAUCCUUUCUCACUAUAAAUACACAGUGAAGCGAUGAACCAGUACAAGCCAAUCAAAUAACCUAAAAUAGCAGAAGAGAAGUCUUACAUGGUGAUAAGAGUUUAUCUUUGAUAGCCAAGGAUGACUUGCCUGCAACCUCUUUGAAGCUUUUGCCAACUAAGGCUACAUGUGGUUCCAUAGGCAGUCUCCUUGGCUAGCCUAAGUGGCUCUUAUCCUUCCAUGCUAGACUGUAAUCUCUUCUAUAUAGUCAAAAUUGGUAAGUUCCAAAUAAAUAGGCCAAAGAGAUCCUUUUAUAGUAAGAACACUUAUUAUAACAAUAUUUCCAAAGAAUUUUUAAAGAAUAGAUUUUUGUAGAGUACUUCAAGAUUGAUGCCAACAAUUUUAAAUAGGCCUGCAUAAAAUGAUCACCUUUUUUUUUUUUUUUAAAUUCUGUGAUAUUCUCAGGAUUCUCGUGCUUGGUGGCAUGUUUGAUUUGUACCUGAUGGGUUGAUUUAGGACAACACUUUUUUCCUUCUCAUGUCACGGAGCAAAAGAAAAGUAUUUUAUGGAUGGUAUCCUAUAUAUGACUUACUAUUUCUUUAAUAGUUCAAGUUAUGGUGGCCAAUCGGGUUUUAGCUGUAAGAUGGUUUUUGCGUAUUAAUCAAAUGCAAGGAAAGCAAUACAGCAUUAAUAGGAAAUAUAAUUCGAAGGAUGAUUACAUAAAUUGCUUCUAUCGGCAAUUAUCCAUGAAGAAGGUCCUCACCUUCAUCCUCAGGCACAUCCAUUUUGUAGUGGAGAUAUGCCUAGCAAUUUCUCACUAAAUGGACAACCACUUGCCAGAUUCUACGAAAUAGGGAGUUACUCAAACUAUCCACACCUUUAUUUUUCUAUCAGGCCUUGAAAGCCAAAGUUUUAGACAGGAUAUCAGUGCUUGUUUUGAACUUUCAUAAAGCACAAGUUAAUACAAGCUUCUGCAACUUUUUGCAAUAAGUUGUAUCAAAAGUAUAUUACGUAUACUGAUGUUAGCUCAUUAAUAUAUUCAAGAGAAUGUCAAAUAUUCAAUACAAAAAAGAUCAUCAAUAUAAGCCAUUGGCAAUUGAGUAACUAUUUCUAAAAAGCAAGAUUAGACAUCUCAAGAUAGUAAUGUAUUGUUUCGAACAAUUUUUUGACUGUCAGCUUUAAAGAGGAUGGGGCAUAAUAUAACUCAUCAUUUUAUUCUCUUUUCAAUAAAGGCAAAGGACGAGAUCUGCAUAGCCUUCAGCUUGAACAUAAAACAAGGAUUCCUGAGAGAUUUGUUGGCUAUUUAUUAUUGGCUAAAAUAGGUCCACUUUCUGCUCCAUGACAAUAGGCCCAAAAGACUAAUAAAUGAGUAGGGUGAGCCCAAAAAGUUGAGUGGGGAUGCAAUCCAUAAUAGACCUAACAACAAGAGACCCAAAAAUAAAUCUAACGUUCAGGUGGGUUAAGUCAGGUCGAAGCCCAUGAGCUCUGUAGCUGAGCCCUUUAGUCUGAUGGGUGCGCCCUUCCUAUCAACAUAUGCUUUUGGGACAACCAGUUAACGCUUACAAUCCACAAGAUUUACAGAAAACAAAAUAACAGAAACAAAUGAUAAUGGGCAGGUUGCAUGAAACAUGCCUCUUUACGUGCUCAUAUCUAAACAGAGGAUACAGAUUACUAUGGCUAUGUAUGGUUAUGGUUGAUGAUGUUCUGAACACAUCAAAGGGCACAAAAAAUCUGGAACAGAACACACAUUGAAUUCAGUUCAGAAGAGAAGCAUACGCCCCAAAUAAAUAAAAAGAAGGAAGCAUCUGCAUCACCUUCAAUUGUAUUUGUUGCUUCAAUUCUAUGCAAUAAGCUUACUCUGUGGAGUUUUUUCCAUAAUAAAAUUUAAAACAAAAAAAACCAAUUUGUUCAGCUAUUGUUUGAUGGAAAAUGAACAAAAAACACUAUCUAACUUAAACAGAUAGUAAAACCGAAAAAAAGAUAAUAGAACCAAUCGCACAAAACAAGAAACCAUGAACAUAUACAAUAGAAGCAACGGUGUAAAACCAAUAAACCUAAAAAUAUAUAUUGUACAGAGGGUUAGAAAAGCUAAACACUUAACAAAUGAAGCAAUGAUUGAAGCAAUGAUCGAGAAGUAGUACACAUUAUACCCUGAAAAGACUUCCCAGUAUCCUUCAUACUAAAUUAUCUACCAAAAUUGUAAUUCAGUAAAAAGAUUAGAAAAUAUAGAUUAAUAACGAGCAAGGUUGAUUGAUUAAAGGGCAUGAGCAGUGCAUAUUGAUUGAAAUUCGAAUUGUAGUGCAGAAUUAUCCAUCCAAAGAGCAGCAUCCAAUCGGCCAGAUCAGAUUAUAUACUAUUUGACAAAUUAGAUAACAAAAAAGAACAAAUAAUCCACAACAAAAGGAAAUUUUGGAAUCUUCAAGAAAAAAAAGCUUACAACUUGUUCCCUUCAAAUCACGCAUUAGCAUAUCUACACCUUGAAACACAAUUUGACAUUCUUUUUUCAAGUUUUCAGUUAAGAUUCUAUUCUCCCACUCACUUUGAUAUUCUCGCAAAUGGCUCAUCCUAUACUUUUUUAAUAUCACGCAAAAUUCUUGAUAAAUUUGCUGCAAAGUCAAACCCGCGAACCCACAAAGGAAAUAACCAGAAUGUUCAAGUGACUCAUACUACAUAUUGAUGUUGAUGGAUGGUGUGGAAUUCACAAAGACUAAAAGCGAACCUUAAAAGCAGCCGUAAUCGUUUUCUAGCCAUCUUGCACUGAAUGUUCUUAUAUUCUAUUACGAUUGCAGCACCUCACUCUACAAAUGGUCAAGAAAGAUUCUGAUACCAAAAGCCGAAGAAUAGAUUACCGUCCUUGAAAAUUAUGUAACCACUGCGUUUCUAGCGUUUGUAGUCAAAGACUCAAAAACAACUGCUGCAGAAAAUAAAACAAGAUAUACAACACUGAAGCUCUCUCUCAGUGUCCAUACGCAAAAGCCCAUUAAAAAAGGCAUAAGAGGGAUAUAUUCUUAAGUGGUGGCAAUUUGAGCUUACAAAAAGUUAUAGACAAGGAGAUUUCUUUUUGCCUCUCUGGAUCUAACGGAAAGACAUAUAUUGAUCUCUUGUCUUGGAAAUACUAUAAAUAGAUGCCGAGGCAAGCAUUACGAACCAACCGAGUGGAGCAAGUCGAGCGUAGCUGCAGAAGAGAAGUCUUACAUGGCGACGAGAGUCUAUCUUUGAUAGCCAAGGAUGACUUGCCUGUAACCUCUUCGGACGUUUCUUUACAAUCGAAAUACUCUAAAAAAAAGCACCUUAUGGUUUACACAGGCAGUCUCCUUGGCUAGUCUCAGUGGCUCUAAUCCUCCCAUGCUAGACUACAUUGAUCUCUUCUUUUAUCAUCAAACAAGAUUCUUCAUGAUGCUUCAAAAGUUUUAUAUCAGUAUAUAUCCCCGAACUUCCAAACACAGCGCAAUUUCAAAAAAACCAGGUUUUUCCGGUCGUAAAAUCACCUAAAAUACUUCUCGUAUACGCAUAUGCUUAAUUAGAGGUUAAAGAGGUCACUUUGCAGGGAAAAUCACAAGAUGAGAUGGUUCUAAGGUAAACAAUCUAAAUCUAGGCUGCAAAAUUGAUUGCUUAACAAACUCAAAUCUUCUACCUAAUGAUUUCUCAUAUAAAGUUGAAUGCAGUUUUUCAAUUCUCACCCCUCACAUGGGAAUGGUGAAUGGUGGCCCUUCUUUUGAAAACCCUAAAAACCCCAAAUUGGACAACCCAAAUCUUUACCGACUUAGACAUGCUGAGAUAUUGAGCACUAUCCUUGUCUACUAUUUACCAAGCUAGAUUUUCUCCUAAUUCUUUCUCCUUUCGAGUAGUGUCUGAGAUUCCUGGUUAAAUAUCGCUCAAUGUGCCUUUGUUAUGUAGCAUGCAGAUUACAAGAUGAGGAAACAGAGUUAGAGAUCUUACGAGCUGAUGAAGAGAGAGAGAGAUGAGUGAGAUCCUGAAGCUUAAGCUCCUCCUGGAUUGGGCCAAGCGAUCGAAGCCGAAUACAGAUCCUUCACUAUUUCUAAUUUUUCUUUUUCCCCUGUUGUUUUUUUUUUUUUUUUUUUUUUUUUUUUUUUUUUUUUGGUGUUGUGGUGUGUAGUAAAAAAUGUAUGGAAACCACUCAACGGAAGUAUCCUGUGCCGCUUACAUCAUAUCAUUAAUAUUCAGUUACGGAUCGUUACUUGAGCAAGCGACAAACGGCUUGAUGGUUGAUACUCGAGACCCAAGUUCGAAUUCUAGUUGAUUCACAUUUUCAACUAAGUUUAUUUCUAAAUAAAAUAAACGAAGCGAGUAACGUGCUACAUAUCUCUCAAAAAAAAAAAAUCAGUUAGUUAUAUCUUAUUUUUAUCUAUUUGUCUAAGCAAUUUAUGAUCGGAUCUACUUGUCUAAGCAAUUUAGUGUGAGAAACUUAGUGUAGAGUCAAAAGAUUAGUGUAGAGUCAAAAGAUUACUUGUCUAAGCAAUUUAUUAUCGGAUCUACUUGUCUAUCGGAUCUACUUGUCUAAACAAUUAGUGUAGAGUCAAAAGAUUAAAAAUUUGAAUCUACAUUGUCUCAGCAAUUUAGUGUGAGAAACUAAAUAACUCUUGUGAGCAUGUGGGACUAAUCAUGGAAAGAGUGAUAAUAAUAGAACAUAAUCAAUUGGUGCAUCCAAUAGAGUCGAAUCCGAGUGAUAUGGGUUAGGCAUAUGGAUUUUUUUGGUAAGUGGAUUCGCAAUGACUAGUAAAGGAUGGCAGUAAGAGAGAGAGAGAGAAAAGAAAACGAGUUUAGGAGUAAAUUCGAAACAGAUAAACAGAUAAAUUUUAUUUAUUUUUAAAAAUACAUACUAUUUUUUUUCAAUAAUCAUGAUGGAAUGGUUGAAUUUAAAAAAAAAAAAACGUUCUAAUUGGUUGAAAACGUCAUAUCAGUAAUAUAAUUGGUACUUUGUAAACUUUUUAGUUCCCGCCUCGAUUCGCCCCGCACACAAUGAUGAGUGAGAAUUGAAAAUUAAAAACUAAAAUUUAUCUAUUUCGAAUCUAUCCAAAUCCGAUAAUAAAUAAAGCGGAAGCUGGGAGACUCUUCCUAUCCCGGAUCCAUCGCGUUUGCAUCCCUAGACCCCUCAGAGCGUUUUCUUUUCUCUCUCUCUCUUUCACUGUCACCCUUAACUAGUCAUUGCCAAUCCACUUAUUUAAAAUCCGUACGCCUAACACAUAUCACUCGGAUUCAACUCUAUUGGAUGCGCCAAUUUAUUACGUUCUUCUUCUUUUUUUUUUUGAGAAAAAGGUAGCACGCUACCCGCUUCAUUCAUUGAAAGUAUGAACUAGGCUACAUGGGUGAGGCAACAUGGGCCUCGAGAGAGCGGAAAAAAAGAAAGAAAAAAAAGAAGAAAGGAGCGGGUGGGGAGGGGGGCGGCGGUUUAGGGAGGGGUUUGUUUUGCUGGAAUAAGAUAAUCCCACUCCGACUAUAGCUGUUUAAGCUUGUGUACUACUAACAUAGGAUUCGGCUAAAUAUUUCUAAAGAUCAUAUCAUUUCUUGCCUUCCAAAUAGACCACCAGCAUCCUACCAAUUCGGAUAAGCUGCUUCUCGUCUUAUGGCAUCCCUUCCUAUACAUCCACGAUACCAAAACUAGGAUUACAUCGUUUCCCAGGUCCCUCGCCUGUACGCCGUCCACUCCCGUCGCGAUGAUAAACUUGCUGAACACACACCGCGUGAACAGGUGGUCCACUGAUUCCUCUUCCGCUCCGCAAAACACGCAAUCUAAGUUUCCCACCCACCCACGCUUCACGAGUAAAUCGGUUGUAUGGAGCCUCUUCUUGAGAACGAGCCAACAGAAUACUUUUACUUUAAAAGGAAUAUGGAGUCUCCAAAUCCUGCAUAUAGAAGGGGCCCUCAUUCCCCCGUUAGAUAACGCUAAAUAGGUCGUAUUUACCGAGAAAAGUCCGUUAGGGCUCCAAUGCCAAUAUAACUGGCCUGACCUUUGUUCAACUGUGAAGUAGGAUAUCCUUUCCUUGAAUUCUACAAUGUUAUCGUUAAUUCCAACAAAAAUUUCGGGCUCCGCACCCAGAAUCCUAUGCCAGUUCCAACCGUCCCUCGUGAAGCAAUCCCUGACUUUAAGUUUUUUUCACUCGGACAUCUUAUAGACCUCCGGGAAUGCUUGGUCUAGCGUGGUCUCCCCACACCAGCGAUCUAGCCAAAAAUCAAUAGAGUUCCCAUUGCUUAGUUUAAAGAUGGCUCCCCAUUUGAAGAUGACGCUAAGGCUAAGGACUCCUUUCCACCGGUGAGAGUGUGGCCUAAAAGAUUUGCCUUCCAUCAAGGUCUCCUCCUUUGGUAGUAUAGGCCCCGGAUUACUCUAUUCCACUGCAAUUGGGGAGCCGUGUGGAACUUCCACCACCAUUUAGUUAGUAGGGCAUGGUUCAUGGUCAUUACAUCCAGGAUGCCUAGGCCCCCUUCUCUCUUGCUCUUACAAACGUUCUUCCAAGCUAUCAGACAUCCUUUGCCAGGAGAGUUACGUCCCCCGUUCCAAAAAAAGUCUCGACGGAGAGCUUCGAUACGCUUUAUCACCCAUUUAGGUGCCUUGAACACCGAAAGAAAAUAGAGUGGGAAGUUUGUUAGAAUAGCGUUUGCUAGGAUAAGUCUACCCCCCCUAGAGAGUAGUUUGGCCUGCCAACCAUCGAUCUUGCACUGAACUUUCUGAAUGAUGCCCCUCCAGUCCUCCUUAGAGGGGGGUUUGGGAGGGAGAGGCAAGCCCAGAUAUUUGGUCGGGAAGGAGCCAACGCGGCACUCGAGUAAAUUUGCUAGAGUACUCGCUUUUCCUUCUAUAUGUCCAAGGUAGUACAAUUUUAUUAUCACUCUUUCUAUGAUCAGUCCCACAUGCUCACAAGAGUUAUUAAGUUUCUCACACUAAAUUGCUUAGACAAGUAGAUCCAAAUUUUUAAUCUUUUGACUCUACACUAAUUGUUAGGAGGUUCUAAUUUAACCAAACCCACAUGGCCCAUGAAUAUUAUGUUUUUAUUGCAAUCCAUCCAACUCAAAAUCUUAAACAUCUAGCAAUAUGAAUAGGAAUUUCAAUGGGUUGGAUUCAAGGGGAAUUUUUUAAAACCCAAACUCGAUCAAAAUUUCGAAACCCGAAUUUGAGACCUGAACCCGAAAUUCUCGUUUUGUUAGAUGAUUCAUGAUUCAAAAAUGAAAAAUUACACGAAAGAUACAAUCAUACAAUGAACUCCGCUCUCUUGCUCUAUCUUUAAGAAGAGUAUGUAUAUUCUGCAUGAGGGAGGUAAUGAAAGAAUCUACAUCUAAACGAGUAGCAAUUUGAAGGUACACAACGAAAGAAUUAAUAGCUAUGAACAACAAGAAUUUGUGUGGCUCCCUUUUUUGUCUAGGGCAUUUAUAUAUAUGGUUUAUAUUCUCUUUCAUAUAGAUGUUGAGACAAGCAAUUCAAAGAUAAGUCUUGGGGGAAAAAGAAGAGAAAUAUUACACCGGCAUAAGAGUCUUAUAUCUUAGGUAGCGAAGAAUGAGUCAUCAGUGGCCUCUCUUUUUGAAGACUUAGAUUAACUCUGAAACUCCAUGUGAUUUUUAUGCGCAAUCUCUUUGGCUACUUUAAGAGCAUGUUUGGUUGAAAAUGAGAAUCGAAAUCGGAAUAGAAAAAUAAAAUAGUGACUUUAGUUGGUUUACAAUAGUAUUUGAAAUCAGAAUCAAUUUAUUAUUAUUAUUUGGUUAAGAAAAUUUUAGUCUACUAUAUAUAUUCGUAAUCAAAUUUUAAACUCAUAUUAAUUGACACUCAUAAUUUAUGUUCAAAGUCAAAAUAUCAAAUUUCAAAAUAUAUUGAAAUUAAAAUUAAAAUUAAAAUUUUAAAUUAAUAAAAUUUGAAAUUAUAUUAUAAAGUUCAAUUGUAAUUUAAUCUAAAUUUAAAUUUAUAUGUAUAUUUGAAUUUAAACAAGUAUUAAUUAUUGGGAAAAAAAAGAGCUCUUUACUCAAUCCCUCCCCAAAUCAAAAUUGACUCUCACCUGUAUUUUGUGAGUCAUUUCGAAAGGAUCCGAUUCCUCCGGAAUAGAAAUCGGAAUGCUAAUUAAUUCCGCAAAUCGAAUAUCAAUAUGUGAAUGGCUCAUUCUGAUUCCUAUUUCAAGCCUCAAUUCCUUUCAACCAAACACGGCUCUUAUCCAUCAUGCAUGCUAGUCUUAGAUCCCUUUAAUAAAAGACGAAGGAUUUUCACAUUACUGGAGAAUACAACUAUGAAUAAGUAGAGAUAUUCAUACUAUUAUUCAUAGUUGUAAUUGUAGUUCUUGAAAUAAUGUCCAAGAUCAGUCCUAAGGUGCAAUUACCAAUAUUAGAAACUUGCAUGACUGUACUAUCAUCUUAUAUAUGGCGCUGAGACUAUUUUUAGAUUAUUAGUUUUUCGUUGAUAAAUCAGUAUUUUGCUAGUAACAAAUUGUUAAUACUAGACCUACACCUCUCGAUUUCGAGUGGUCAUAACUUUAAAUCUUAUAUAUUCAAGGUUAAUGAACGAUACAGAUCAAUCUCUACCUAUUUCAUAAACGUUUUAAGCCGUGCAUGAUAUAUAUUCAUAAGUCUCACUACAAAACACCUUCCAUUAUUGCGCCUAUGAUGCUUGAUCAUCAUGCCUUACAAACAUUGCACGCAAGAAAUCAAACUUUCCAUCUUUUAAUAAAUAGUAAGAUACCUACGAACUGUACAAACAACAGGACUCUCUUUAUCAUCUCUCUCUCUCUCUCUCUCUCUCCCUCUCUCUCUCUCUCUCUCUCUUUCGCUUCAUUACUAUGGGCUCACCGAACGCACUAAACUUGAUUAAAGUUGUCCUUCAUUUCCCUGUGCAACGCCAUUUAGUAAACUCACGUGGUUACUGCGUUAUUAUAUAUUCACGUUCUUUCCGUGGCGCAGGACGAGUUAUCCCAUGAUUUAACAGGAGACCAAUAGGCCAUCAUGCGGUACGGACUACGGAGCAUUCAAUUGCACCACAUCUGAAGUUCACGUGCCGCAUCCCAUCAUAGCCGUCCACUCCGCAUCUAACGGCGAAGCGAGCGCCGUACCGUUCGCUCCUACCGUCGUCUUGUAGCCUGCUUGGUUGGUGGUCAUGUCCUUUUUCGUAUCGUAGUCUCCAUUGUAGUACUAUCGUAUUUUAUAUAUAUAUAUAUAUAUAUAUAUAUAUAUAGUUGGACUGGACUGCUAUUAAUAGCAAAAUUUUAUUAUUGCUACUAAUUUUUUAGCCUUUGGAUCAACUCUUUUCAUUAUUUCUAAUCAUUGAAUUAAAUACUAUAACCCAGUGGAGACCACUCAACCCUAGGCGGACCACUCAACUCUAACCGACUAAUAUCAUCAUGACCCUACAAUUUUUCAUCCAAGGGUUAAAGACUUGAUAGCAAAAAAAACAUUUUACUAUUAAUAGUAUUCCAGCCUAAUUAUAUAUAUAUAUAUAUAUAUAUAGUUCGGUUAUGGUGCUUGUAAAAGCACCAAGUAUUUGGUGCUUGUAAAUUUUUUACCGUUAGAUCUACUCCUCUGAUCAUUUUUAACCGUUAAAUUAUACUAUUUAACCAACCACCCACUCAACCUUAGGGGACCCACAUCAUCCUAACCGUACAUCUCUUAAUCCAACGGCUAAAAAUUUACAAGCACCAAUAACUUAGUACUUUUAAAAGCAUAAGAACUCAAUUCUAUAUACAAAGUUCGGUUAUGGUGUUUGUAAAAGCACCAAGUAUUUGGUGCUUGUAAAUUUUGUACCGUUAGAUCUACUCUUCUGAUCAUUUUUAACCGUUAGAUUAUACUAUUCACUAUCAAAAAAUUUUUAAAAAAAUUUAAUUUUUAAUAUCUGAUCUGUCAAUGCAUUUGAUUUGAAUCGAUCAAUAAAUUUUUAAUUUUUAAAUUUGAAUCCAUUAUUUAUUUUUACAGACUUAAUUCGUAUAUUUUAUACUAAAAUAAAUAAAUAAAUAUUUAUUAUUUUAAAUUGAAUAAAUUAAGAUUUGAUAGUCAUUUAAAAUAGUUUAUAAUUUAGAUAACUUUUGUAUACAUUUACCCUGAAUUUUUAAAAUUUACAGAAUAAAUUUAACGCAUAUUGUCUUUAUUCUCCAUGGAAGAAGACACCUGAACUUUAAUUUUUUUUUUUUUAUUACGACCUACUCAAUUUCUAAUUUUUUUACUUCAAAUUUAUAUAUUUAAUUAAGUUACAAAUUUUAUUAAUUUUAAUAAUUUUACUGGCUAUUAACUAUUGAAUAGUUUAACUUUAUUUGAUAAAAAUUAAUUAAAGUAAUUAAAUGAUAAAAUUACGUAUAAAUUUGAUAGAAUUUUUGUUUUUUUUACUAAUUAAAUCACCUAUUAUUCGAAAAUCAAAGAGUUAAGAGCAGUCUAAAAACCAAGAAAAAUAAAAGUUUAAGGGGUUGAUUUCAAUUCAUUCUAUAGUUGAGGGGGGCUUCUAUAUUAUUUAGGGUCUCCCCUCACAUGAAAUUUUAGAAUGUAAUGGCUAUAUUGGUUACGUGGCGUAACAAAUUAAUCAAAUAUGUUUUUUAGAAAUAUAUGUCCCAUCAUAAUUGUAAAAUAAUAAGGCCAAUUUGCAUAAAAAAUCCACUUAUUUUGAGCUUUUGCAAAAUCGGGCUACCUUUUUCGUUUUUGGAGAUUCGGUCCGCUUUUUCAGCAAACUGACCAAAAUACCCUUAUUACUUUUUCUCUUUCCUCUUUCUCUCUCCUCUUCGUUCUCUCGUUCUUUUUUUUUUUCCGCCGGGAAAAAAAAGCGAAGGCCAGACGGAGCAAUUUUUUCUUCUUUUUUUUUUCCCCUUUUUUUUUCUUCUUCUUCUUCCUCCUGCUGGAGCACCUUUUUUUUUUUUCCCUCUUCUUCUUCUUCUUCUUCUUCUUCUUCUUCCUGUAAGAGCACGGGGCGCGCCACGGAGACUUCCGGCCUCGCCAAGCGGCGUCCACCCGGCGGCGUUUUGCAGGGAGGGGUCGGCACCGGCGACCGUGAGCGCCCCGGCAAGAGUGGGGGCGCGCGGGAGGCGGGCGGCGAGGUGGAGCGGGGUGUCGCAGCCGAGGACGUCGCGCCUGUCGAGGGCAGCGGUCACGCGCGCCGCCCGGCGCUCCGCUCGUGCGGCGUCGGCCGCCGUCGCGAUCUCCGACGGCUGCUUCUUCUUUUUCGUAAUGGUGUAAUAGUGCACGCGGGCCGGUGCACGCAGCGGCGGCGGGCGGGCACGCGGGCGCGCUGCGGCUGCUUCUUCUUCGUCAUAACUCAAUGCUCUUUCUUCUUCGGACAAAGUCAAUAUCAGCAAUUGAAGCAGAUACUGUGCCUAAAUUAUGUAGACAUGUUAAACCAAAUAGUUUGAGAUGAAUAUGAAGAACAUAGCAAAGCUAGUGCACUACUGACCUCCACCGAAGUAUGUUUUUGUUAACAACCUGGCUGCCUCUGUCAAAGAACAAUAAUAUAUUAAAAAGAGCACAAGAUAAUACAUUCCACUCUAUAGAAAGCAGAUAGCUAAACGACCUUUGCUAAAACUUCGAAAAAAAAAAUACAAACGUUUUGCCCACAUAACAAGACCAUUACACCAUUAAUAGUGUAAUGGUGUAAUUACACCAUUAAUGGUGCAAUGGUUACACCAUUAAUGGUGUAAUGGUGCACCAUUACAUUAUUAAUGGUGAAAUUACACCAUUACAUGGUGUAAUUACACCAUUAAAGGUGCACGCGGCCCGCGGAGCGGAGCCGUGGGUGGAGCUUCGCCAGAAGGAGAGAGAGAGAGAAUUUACAAAAUGCGCUUUCCCUGCCGUUUCCUCCUCCUCCUCUUCUUCUUCUUCUUCUUCUUCUUCUUCGUCGUCGUCCUCGGCGGCGGCGCGGCGGAGGAGGGGUCGCCGGCGGCAGCGUAGGUGGCGGCGCUUCUGGCGGUGAGGUCGGCGCUCGCGGACCCGUCGGGCGCGCUCGCGUCGUGGUCCAACGCCAGCUCGUCGGAGCCCUGGCGUCGUGGCACGGGGUGUCCUGCUCUCCCGCGCGGCUCCACCCUCUGGCGGAGCUCCACCCACGGAGCUCCACCUGGCGGAGCUCCACCCUGGCAGAGCUCUCUCUCUCUCUCUCCCUCCCUCUGGCGGAGCUCCUAAAAUGAAAUAAAUUAUGUAAAUUAAGUACGCGCUUACAUGAAAUAAAUUAUGUAAUUAUUUUAUAAAAAAAUCCACUACGUGCUUACAUGAAAGUGUGUUUACAUAAUUUAUUUCAUUUUAGGAUUUGGAUUUUUUAAUUUUUUUUGUAGUUGGAUUUCCGUAGGCUUACUCUACUGUUGGCACACCUGACUAUAUUGCUCUAGAAGUUUUACUGAAGAACGGUUAUAGGAUGGAAUGUGAUUGGUAAGCUAUAUAUCUAGCCCGCAAGGUGUUCGACAAAAUGCCCGUGAGGGACCUGCUCGCGUGGACUGCGCUCGUCCACGGUCGUCCACGGCCUCUUGGGCCUGCGGGGUGAACGCGGGGUCGGUGAGGCGCGCGUACGCGAUGAGGAGAGCCGGGGCGGCGGCAGGGCCGGUGCAGCGGCGGAGCAGGAGGAGGUGGGCGUAGAGGGGGAGGGCGUGGUGGGGCGCGGCAGAGCCGGUGAGGGCGAGGAGGACGGAGGUGUAGGAGGUGAGAUCAGGGCGGGGCAUGCGGAGGAGGCGGGCCUCGGGCCAGGCAGGAGGCGGCAGCGGAAGAAGAAGAGAAAGAGAAAAAGAAAAGGAAAACAAAUAAUGUAAAAUUUUUUUAAAUAGUGCAACUGUGGUCUAAAUAGUGUAAAAUUUAUUCCAAAAGAGUGUAAUUUUUAUAUGUAAUAGUGCAGUUUUUAAUAAAACAGUGCAAUUUUUUAAAAAAACAGUGUAAUCUCAAGAGGCCGUGGACGACCGUGGACGAGCGCGGUCCAUGUGAGCAGGUCCCUCACGGGCAUUUUGUCGAACACCUUGCGGGCUAGAUAUAAGGCUUACCAAUCACAUUCCAUUUCAUAACUGUUCUUCAGUAAAACUUCUGGAGCAAUAUAGUCAGGUGUGCCAACAGUAGAGUAAGCCUACGGAAAUCCAACUACAAAAAAAAUAAAAAAAUUCAAAUCCUAAAAUGAAAUAAAUUAUGUAAACACACUUUCAUGUAAGCACGUAGUGCAUUUUUUUUUAAAAUAAUUACAUAAUUUAUUUCAUGUAAGCGCGUACUUAAUUUACAUAGUUUAUUUCAUUUUAGGAGCUCCGCCAGAGGGAGAGAGAGAGAGAGAGCUCUGCCAGGGUGGAGCUCCACCAGGUGGAGCUCCGUGAGUGGAGCUCCGCCAGAGGGUGGAGCCGCGCGAGGGAGCAGGACACCCCGCGCCACGACGCGUAGGGCUUCGACGAGUUGGCGUUGGACCACGACGCGAGCGCGCCCGACGGGUCCGCGAGCGCCGACCUCACCGCCAGAAGCGCCGCCACCUACGCUGCCGCCGGCGACCCCUCCUCCGCCGCGCCGCCGCCGAGGACGACGACGAAGAAGAAGAAGAAGAAGAAGAAGAAGAGGAGGAGGAGGAGGAAACGGCAGGGGAAGCGCAUUUUGUAAAUUCUCUCUCUCUCCCUCUGGGGAAGCUCCACCCGCAGCUCUGCUCCGCGGGCCGCGUGCACCUUUAAUGGUGUAAUUACACCAUUACACCAUUAAUGGUGUAAUGGUGUAAUUUCACCAUUAAUGGUGUAAUGGUGCACCAUUACACCAUUAAUGGUGUAACCAUUGCACCAUUAAUGGUGUAAUUACACCAUUACACCAUUAAUGGUGUAAUGGUCUUGUUAUGUGGGCAAAACGUUUGUAUUUUUUUUUUUCGAAGUUUUAGCAAAGGUCGUUUAGCUAUCUGCUUUCUAUAGAGUGGAAUGUAUUAUCUUGUUCUCUUUUUAAUAUAUUAUUGUUCUUUGACAGAGGCAGCCAGGUUGUUAACAAAAACAUACUUCGGUGGAGGUCAGUAGUGCACUAGCUUUGCUAUGUUCUUCAUAUUCAUCUCAAACUAUUUGGUUUAACAUGUCUACAUAAUUUAGGCACAGUAUCUGCUUCAAUUGCUGAUAUUGACUUUGUCCGAAGAAGAAAGAGCAUUGAGUUACGACGAAGAAGAAGCAGCCGCAGCGCGCCCGCGUGCCCGCCCGCCGUCGCUGCGUGCACCGGCCCGCGUGCACCAUUACACCAUUACGAAGAAGAAGAAGCAGCCGUCGGAGAUCGCGACGGCGGCCGACGCCGCCCGAGCGGAGCGCCGGGCGGCGCGCGUGACCGCCGCCCUCGACAGGCGCGACGUCCUCGGCUGCGACACCCCGCUCCACCUCGCCGCCCGCCUCCCGCGCGCCCCCACCCUUGCCGGGGCGCUCACGGUCGCCGGUGCCGACCCCUCCCUGCAAAACGCCGCCGGGUGGACGCCGCUUGGCGAGGCCGGAAGUCUCCGUGGCGCGCCCCGUGCUCUUACAGGAAGAAGAAGAAGAAGAAGAAGAAGAAGAAGAGGGAAAAAAAAAAGGUGCUCCAGCAGGAGGAAGAAGAAGAAGAAAAAGAAAAAGAGAAGAAAAAAUUGCUCCGCCUGGCCUUCGCUUUUUUUUCCGGCGGAAAAAAAAAAAAGAACGAGAGAACGAAGAGGAGAGAGAAAGAGGAAAGAGAAAAAGUAAUAAGGGUAUUUUGGUCAGUUUGCUGAAAAAGCGGACCGAAUCUGCAAAAACGAAAAAGGUGGUCUGAUUUUGCAAAAGUCCAAAAUAAAUAAAUUUUUUAUGCAAAUUGGCCAAAUAAUAAUUUUAUUAUACUUUUAUUUGAAAAAAAAAAUGUGGUUGGCUUGCUAUUGAUGAUGCAGUGUAAGUGUGAAGUGUAGAAUUCCACCUCUCUCACUCGUUCCUGCGCCGUGGGAGACACGCUACAGGAAAACAGUGGGACCCACCAAAUCCAAUCAAAUCCCUUCGACAGUGAUCUUCUCCUGAAAAUAUGUGCUGAUCAAUGUAACGCCUACAAACACGUUUUUUUUUUCUUUUUUUUUUACUGACAUGUGGGCCCGGCUCCAAGUCACAUGAGAAGUUGUUGCAACAAAUAGGUUUUUCUUUUGUUUUUGGGUAAAUUUCAAAUGUUAAUAAUGUGGUUUUGUAUUUUUUUUAUUUUAGUAAUAUGUAAUUUAAAGUGUAUUAAUUUAAUAUUAUAUAAUUUUUUUAACUUUUCAUUAAACUAUUAUAUAUAAAAAGCUUCAGAUAAUGCACCUAUAAUUUAUGAAAUAUUCACUUUACUACUCUUUAGUUUUAACUUUGUUGCUACCUUAACAAAAAAAAAUAAUAAAAAAAAGAAAAAAAAAAUAAAACUAUAGGGUACAAAAGUGAUACAUUUUAAAUUACAAGAUACUAAAGUGAGAAAGUGCGAAACUACAGGAGUGGUAUUUGAAGUUUUUUUCUAUGUGUCUAUAUUUAAAAAAUUGUUGUUCAAAUUGUAGCUGAAGAUUCAAUUUUAUUUAUUAAAAUUAUAUCUAAAUUAAUCAUAGUUUCAAAACAAUUAUACUAACUUUAAAUAAAAGAUCAUUUUAACUCCCUUAUCUAAUUUUAAAUAAAAAAUUAUUCUUUUAUAUUAGAGAUAGUCUUACCAUUCCAUAUAUCUCAAUUGUGCAGAGCAAUUAAAUAAAAUACUUGUAAUAAUUGUAAUUAAGUUAAAAUAUAUAAAACUUAUCUAAAUUGUGGGCUAUUUUGAGUCGAAUAUCUAAUCUUUUAAAAAUUUUGAUUUUACUAUCGAAUCUUUCAGUUUAUUUGAUUUUAGUCAAUCAACAGUAAUUUGAAUUUAAAAUUUAAAGUAAUUCUUUAUUUUAAUAAAUAUAUAGUUAUAAUAAUUGUACUAAAUAUACAAAUUAAACUUGUAAAGAUAAACGAUGCAUGUAAAAUUUGAAGUAAGAGUAUUAUUAGCUGAUUCAAAUCAAACAAAUUGAAAGAUUGGAUAUUAAAUUAAAAUUUUAAAAAUGGUAGAUAAAUUUGAAAAUUUUGAGUAGUAGUGAGGCAUAUAUGAGCAAAACCCUCUUAUAAUUAUAUCAAACAAAAUCGGCCGUCCAUUAUAUCAUAUUUACUGAGGGUGGAAGAUCAUCCGACAUUAUUAGAUGAAAAAAUGAUUAAAACAAAACUAUAUAAAACUAUUUUUUAAUAAUAUCAAAUAAUAUUCUUUCUAUUUUUUUUUUUUCUGAUGCAUAAUCUACACAAUUCCAAAGAAUUGGAGCAAGCUCAGACAAUUGUUUUCCCCCUCAUCUAGGAACCAUCUAUUUAGGGCCUAUUUGUUUCACCGAAGGUGAAAUUCAAAUUAAAGUAAAUUUUUGAAUAAACUAGAGUUUUUAUAAAAUUAUUUCACUGUUUUGCUUGUAUAAUUAUGGAAUAAAAGUUUUUUUUAGCUCUAUUAUUUGUUUGAUAAAAAAUAAAUGACAUAAAAAUUAUAGGUACGAAACAUGUGUUAAUAUUUUACUAUUAUUACUAUUAUUAUUAUUAUUGUUUGCAAUAAAUUUCGUCUGAAGUGGACAAAAGUCAAUUAUACUAUUUUUGGAAGUUUGAGAUUGCAUUAAAUAUAAAAUUAUAGUAAAUCAAAUAACAAGAAUUGGCAUUUACAACUAAGGAUAGGAAAGGAGCUGAGCCGGCUCGUGUUCGACACAGUAUUCGGAUUGGUAAUUAAAUAAGUCGAACUUGAAUAGAAAAAGAAAAUCAAAAUUAAUUUCAAACCAAGAGUAUUAUUGGCUCGCUAGAAUUUGGCUUGAAAACCUAAAAUAUGUGCAUGUGUGUGUGUGUAAUAUGUAUUUUAAUUAUAUGGAUAUCUCUUUUACGCCAUUUGGCUAUUUUCUUCACAUAAUAAGACUGACCUACAAAAUCAAAUUAAAAAAUAUACCUCUCCCUCUCUAGGUCAUUCUUUCUCUUUUUAAUAAAAUUUUACCUCACUUCUCUCGUUGUUUAUGAUAUUUUGUUUCAUAUCAGUUAGAUCAAUCAGAUUUGGAAUUGUGAACAGCAAGAAAAGUGCUAUUCAUUUGAUAAAUCGAACGUGUGAAUCUUUUUUUGAGCAAGAAUAUAGUGAAAAAUUAGUAUAUUUAUACUAAAAUUUGAUUUUACUUAUGUAUGAUUGUGAUUGGAUAGUUCAAUUAAUUUCUUGUUUAUAUAAUUUAUUUAUUUUUUGAUAAUAUAGAUGAAAUAGAAUGGUACGAAUGUUGGAGACGGAAGGAAAACCAUGAGAUUAGAAUAAAAAAUAUAAAUAGAAUUGAACAUCCAUUACAAAGUUAGAUAUAUAAACUCAUAAAUUAUUUUUCUUAAUAUUAUACUAUAAUAUUUUAUAUAUUGAGUCCAACUAUCGAUAACACUAAGGGCUUUGUGUUAUCGAGUUUUCCACCGUCAGAUUUAAUUCUUUAAUUAUUUUUACCUAUUAGAUUAUAUUAUUCAACCAACUACCUACUCAACCUUAAGGGGCCCACAUCAUCCUAACAGCACAUUUCUCAAUCUAAGAACUAAAAAACUAAUAGCACCAAUAGCUUGGUGCUAUUGAUAGUAUUCCAAUCUAGUUCUUAUAUAUUUACUUUAUAUGUUGGACUAUCAGAUAUAUUUUUAUGUCAAAUUCUAAAUAAUAUUCUAUAAAAAUUAAACUUUAGGUUACACGAUAUUAAAAAUUCCAAGCGGCUUGUUUAGAAUUUGAGUUCACUCGACUUGAAAUUAGACUUACUCAAAUUAAUUUCAAGUCAAAUUUAUACCUGAAUUUAGAUUCAAAAUUAAUUUCAAGCAAAACUUAAGCUAAGAUAAACUCAUUGGUGGUAAGUUCUCAAUUCUCUUCCACCCCUAUUUAGAAUGGAAAAUAAAUUCAUCACUCUUUCUUUUUGGUGAAACAAAUGCCCCCCAACCUAGUCAAUGCUAUGCUGUGCUGACCAACUUUCCCCUAUACUUUCUAUCAGUCUUUAAGGCACCCAGUUGGGUCAUCAAACUGCUUGAAGCUCUACGCAGAGAUUUUCUCUGGAGUGGCCAAAGCAGCAUCUCAGGUAAGGGAUGCCUGGUUGCAUGGAAAAACGUCUGUCUGAGCAAACUGGUAGGUGGGUUAGGCAUUUUGGAUGUCGCAAACAUGAAUCGAGCAGUUUUAGUUAAAUGGUGGUGCAGAUUCCAAACAGAGCCCCACCUGCAGUGGAUCAAGAUUUUACGAGCGCUCUUUUACCGAAGGAGGAAGCCCCUAUGGGAGGGCAAUUGCUUCCGGCCACACUCACACUGGUGGAAAGGGGUUUUAACAACCAAGGAUAUUUUCAAAUGGGAAACCUGCUAUAAGCUGGGCAAUGGGUGUUCUAUUGACUUUUGGUUUGAUAGAUUGUGCGGGAAACCACGUACUCUCUAAACAUCCUUCCCGGAGGUGUAUGCGUUGCUGGAUAGCAAACCAAUCUUGGUUAGGGAUUGCUUUGGAGGAACAAAUUGGAGUUGGACUAGGAUCCUGAGCGAGGAGGCAACUCGUAUGCCUGGCCUGCGCCCCAUCCUCUUGGAACUCAAAGAGAGGGUUAGCAACUUCCAAAUAGGGAUUAGAGCGGACACGAUUGGGUGGAGAUGGGUUAGCAAUGAUAUAUUCUCCGUCAGAUCGACCUAUGGAAUGUUGAACGAUGGGGGUACAACUGUACAAGGGACAGACGUGCUAAAUUGAUCUGGAGACUACGUAUACCACUCAAGGUCAAAGUCUUCUGUUAAUUAGUCCUUAAGAAGAGAUCUCCUACAGCUGAGAACCUUGUGAAGAGAGGGUGGACCGGAGAUAAGACUUGCGUGUUGUGCAGGAUGUACGAUGAGUCGGUGGACCAUCUAUUCACGUAAUGCGUUUUUGUUAAGUUCUUAAUGGUAACAGGCAUUGAGGAUGUCCAGGCAGGGGAGUUGGGGGGCGAUGUGCACAUAGUCUGAGAUAGGUGGCAUGGGAGGAAUGGAGUACAGAAUAGGAGCAACGAACUAACCAGUUUGAUCGCAUGCUGAAGGAGCAUUUGGAAGGCUAGGAACAACAGUAUCUUCCGCGACAUUGAAUAGGACCCACUAAUAGCGGUGCAAAAACUCAAGCAUCUUAUUAUCUCUUGGAAAGACAUUCGGUAGUUUUUUUUUUUUUUUUUUUUUUUUUUUUUUNCACCCUUGUAACCUAAUUCAUCUUUCCAAUGAAAUGAAGCAGGUAGCGCGCUAUCUAUUCUGAAAAAAAAAAAGCCCCCCACCAAUCCGAUCCAAGCAGUGGCAUGUUUGUUUCAACGUAAGUAGACUUGGGGUGGAAGUGAACUUUGGAUUGAAGUGGAGUUGGGGUCAAAAUUAAUUCACUUCUGCUGUUUGUUUCUAACUGUGGAAGUGCAAUUCUACGAGUUCUGUUGUUUAUUUGGUAGGAAAUAGAUGACGUAAAAAAUGUAGCUCUCCAUCCCCGAUAUACUUACCUCCGAAGCGAUAUCAUUGUCUAUUUUGUAACUUAGUGAAUAAUAAAUUAUAAUAAAUAAGAAUUAAUAUAAUUAUAUAUGUAUAUAAUUAUAUAUAUAUAUAUAUAUAUAUAUAUAUAUGUAUAAUUAUAAAAUAAAAUUUUAAAAAAUUAUAUUAUUUGUUUGCAUAUAAAUUAUAAUAAUACAACAAAUAAAAUUCUAAAGUUAAAAAUUAUUAACACUUAAUAAAUUUAAUUUUGGGUGAGGGCGAAGUUAAUUAUCCUAUUUUGAAUGAACUCGAUUUUCGAUACAGCGUAAACAAUUUCUCCCCUCACCACUUCCCCCUCACUUUCACCCAAACAAACAUACCCUGUAGGUCAAACCACUGAGCUUCGACGAAGGAGCGCGCGCGGGGAAAUUCACUACCACUGCUUGGCAAAUUCAAGUACCACGCUCUCCCCGAUAAUUUGUUAUCAUUUAAUUACUGACACAUGGAUUAAAAAAUUCAUUUCGAUUUUUUCUUUUUCGUAAUCGACUCUCUCUCUCUCUCUCUCUCUCUCUCUCUCUCGAGUGGUUGUCCCCUUCAAUACCCGUUUUCCUCGUGCUGUUCAAAUUUCUCAAUUUUAAAUUCGCAUCUACUUUUUCUUUUUUUUUUAUUUUUCUCAUAAAAUGAAUACUUCCGCUUCGGAUUCCCCCCUCCCCCCCCCUCUCUCUCUCUCUCUCUCCCUAAUAAUGAUAUAAAAGAAAAUUAAGGUGCUCAAAAUCGUCGAAUUUUCGAUCCAUCGAAGAAGAGGAAGAGAUUAAGAAUACGUACGUGUAUACGUAUAUAUACGCGAUGUCGAAGGCCGCCGCCGUCGUCGAGCUCGACCUCCUCGGCCUCCACCCACGCCCCCCCGCCGCCGCCGCCGCCGGUCCACCCUCCUCUUUCCGCCGGAACAGCUCCUUCCGAGGUAUAUAUAAUCUCUCCCCCCCCUCUCUAUAUAUCUAGAUAUCUCUAGAACCUUCCAGAACCUUCUAGAACCCUCCGGAUCAUUUCCUUUACUGCUCGAUCCUCGCAGAGAUGCAGUGCGCGAUCGCGAGGAUGGAUCCCGCGGUGGUGAAGAGCGUGAUCGCGUCCGGAUCGCCGGGAUCGAACGCGGCGGCGACGGCGAUCUCCGGCGCGAGGUGAGCUUCGAUGCGCCUCGACGCGUUGCGAUCUAUGAACAAUAAUUAAUAACACUUCGUGUGUUUGUGUGUGUGUAUAUAUAUAUAUAUAUAUAGAGUGGAAGCAGGUGAUGAUACCGCGACUUCGCCAUUAACGAUCUUCUACAAUGGCACCGUGGGCGUCUUCGAGCUUACCCACGACAAGGUUUGUAUCAGCUUCGCACGUGCGAACAUGCAUAACAAUAAUCUGGCUAAAUUGCAGAGCACCCCCUAUCGUUGUACUAACUUCGUGACUACAACUUCUCUGAGGGGGAAAUGACUUUUAAUUGAUUCAUUAAUGAAACGAGAUGAAAAUAAGAUCUGAUUAAAAUUAUGGGAAAAAAAAAUUGACAGGCGAAAAAUAUCCUGAGAAUGGCAGCGGAAGCAAGUAAUGGAGGCAUUUCAGAAGCAUCGGAGGAAAAGAUGGUGUCAGGCGACAAUGAGGGUCUGAAUGGAGGUAAACAUAACAGCAACAAAAUGUGCAUAUAGUCUUUGUACUACUGUCGUAUUGCAACUCAGAGCCCGAUCCUUUCGCCUAAACAUAUGUUUUAGCUUUUUUUUUUUAAUUAAGAAAGAAAAUAAUUUUUUGAAUAAAUUAAGUCUUCUAUUUAAGCUGUUAAAAUAAAAAUUUUAUAUAUUAUAUAAUUAUUAAGAUGGUCGUUUUAGGAGAAAAUUAUGGAUAUUUCUUUGGUUAGAAAUAAAAGUGCAAUGCGUGAAAAACGUUGAAUUGGAAACUUCAAAGGCCGAGUUGUAAUAUUGGGAUAGUAUGGUGACUACCCAUACAUUUUGUCCACAAGAAAAUGGAGAAAUCUAAAAGGACAAGCCGAUUCAACUAUGUACUAUUUUUGAGAAAUUUUGAUUUCUAAAAAAUGUAAUUUGAAAUUAGUAUUUAAACUUUCAAAAUUUUGAUAUUAUAAAAUGAAAUUUCAAUUUAUUUAAUUUAAGUUUGUUUUUAUAUAUGGCUCUGAAAAUUUAUUUUUGCCUCACCUUAUUGCGCUGGUACAUUCUUGUACCAUGUCCUUGAAUGUUUUUAUAUCUUACUUUUUUUUUUCCAUGUACAAAUUGACUUAAAAUAGUCAGAUUAAACGCACUAGAUACAAUUAGCUAGGAAAUCACGCAAGUUGAAAACUUAGAUAAUAAAAGGGUUAAUUUCGUAUAGAUUCUUGCUAACAUAGUGGAUGAUAAAUAUAUUUCUACAAAAUUUGAUUUAAUAUGUUGUUUCUUCAAAAGUUUUAAUAUUUUCAAAUCUAUUUAUUUGCUUUAUUAUCGUUAUAGAACUAUUAUAUUUUCAAUUUUGGCAUCAUAAUUGUAUCCUUCCAAAAGUUAUAAUAAUAUAAAAUACGGGGAUAAAAACGUCAAAAAUUAACCAGAGUUAAGUAUUUAACUUAUGAAUAAAUUAAAAUUUUCUAACGGAUACUAACGGCAGAAACAUAUAUAUUUGAAAAUAUUAAAAUUUUUAUAGGAACAAUAUAUAAAAGCUGAAUUUUAUAAAAAAAUAUAUUUGUCAUUUACUAUAUUUGCAAAGAUCUGUAUGAAAUUAAUCUAUAGUAAAAUUAUUAUUUUUAAAGAUUUGAUAUUUAUUUUCAAAUUAAUAAUCCGAAAAUCGAGUUAAUUUUAUAAUUUUUUACUGGUUUUGAUUACACGUCAAGUUGCAUCUGAAAAUGAAAGGCGUUGGUUGGUUAGGAGAGCUGCCAAUCGCGAGGAGGAAGUCGCUGCAGCGAUUCCUGGAGAGGCGCAAGGAAAGGUUGGUUCUUCUACCCUCGAGUGUAUCUACCUUCUCUUCUUUUUAGUUCCUCAAAUUAUAAACCCAAAAAAAAUAAUAAUAAUAAAGUAAUUUAUCACGUGAACGUUGAUAAAAGUAUUGUAUGAACUUGGUAUAUUGCAUUAAUUCAAACUACGGACAAUUAAAAGCAAGAACUAUACUAUAUAUAUAUCCAUAGACAAAGUGUAUUAAAUCUACUCGUAUUUAUCACGUGAAUGUUGAAUAUAUAGCUAGGUAAAUUUAAUGUUGGUUUAGAAUUUCUAAAAAUAUGAUGUUCUGGUCAAAAAAAUACAAGGACUUGCAUAUUUAUUAAUGUCUUUUAUUAUUUCUUAUAUAUAUAUAUAUAUAUAUAUAUAUGCAUCCAGGUGCAUCCCCACACUUUGCAUUUAUCAACCAUCCAUGCAAUGAAGUUUAAGUCGCUGUUUUGUUGUAUAUAAUUAUAAAUACAUCGUAGUUAUAAUUAUCUGUAAAUUCAAAUUUGGAUAUUUAGUUUAAUGUAUACUUGCACUGUACAAAUUAACUGUUGCGCCAUGCGCAUAUAUAUUGCUAUAUAUUAACAACUUUUUAUAGUGUGCUUAGUUACCGUGCCGUGUAGCAAUGCUAUUCUUUAAUAAAAGAAGAUCCACUUUAAUUAGAGAAAAACGCAUGCAGAGCAUUAAUUACUUAAUUAAUUUAAUCUCUUUCGUUUGGGUUCUGAUCUAUGUUUAGUGGGGUGGGUGAUAAUAAAGAGGGACAAAGCACGUUUUCUACGGAACUAGCUAUGAAUAAAUAAUUAAUUAAGGUGGUCGGUUACGUAAACAUUUUUGAAUGCUUUUUGGAUUAUUCACAGUUGAAACUUGAAACUAAGGUGAAAACGACUUAAAGAAAUUUUAAAAAAAUGUGCAUAAUUAAUUAGGUCAAUUUAUUGUGCACGCCUUUUGAAAAUUGUUAUUUUAAAUUACUUUAUUCUCGAUGAUAGCCACGGAACUUUUCCUUCAAAAGAAAAAAAAAGCUUUUUGUGUUGAAAACAUAUAUUAACUUGAAUUACCUUUUUCUUUAGUAACAGGAUAAAGAAUUUGGCACGUGAUGAACAUUAAUUUAAUGGGUUGGGUGUCUUUGAAAUUAAGUACCUUUUUUUUGACCUUCUUACUUUUUUUUUUUUUUUUUUUUUUUUUUUUUUUUUUUUUUUUUUUUUUUUUUUAAUGCUUUGUUUCCCACCUGCCGACAAUAGUUGAACUACUCCUUUCUUUUUUUUCUUUUUUUUUUUUCUUUUUUUUUCUAGUUGUAUUUGUAGCAAAGGAGAAAUGAAGGAACAUGAAAAGAUAGAAAUUUGGGAAAACUUCAAAAACCCCCCCUGUGGUUUCAUACUUUUUCAUUUUAGUACCCUGUGGUUUGAAGUGUAUCAAGUUAGUACCCUGUGGUUUCUCACUUUAUCACUUUAGUACCCUGUGGUUUAAAAUGUAUCAAGCUAGUACCCUGUGGUUUUGCACUUUAUCACUUUAGUACCCUGUGGUUUCACACUUUAUCACUUUAGUAUCUUGUGAUUUAAAAAACUAUAGGGUACUAACUUGAUACAAAAUUAAAACCACAGGGUACUAAAGUGAUAAAGUGCAAAACCACAGAGUACUAACUUGAUACACUUUAAACCACAGGGUACUUAAGUGAUAAAGUGAGAAACCACGGGGUACUAACUUGAUACAUUUUAAACCACAGGGUACUAAAGUGAAAAAGUGUGAAACCACAAGGGGGGUUUUUGAAGUUUUCCCUAGAAAUUUUGACCCUUUAGUUAAUUAUUUUCAUCUGAGUUUCUUUAAUAAGGUUGUUGGAAUUAUAUUAUGUCCUCUUACAAAGAUUUGGAUAAGAGAAUAGAAAUAGAAUAGUAAUUUACAUUCACAAAUUUACUAAUUAGUACAGUUGGUUAGUAUUUCAGUCACUGACGAAAAAAUUUAAAAGAAAUUAAGAAAAAAGAAUAAGAGUCUUUUCUAUCUCUCUCAGUGUUCAUUAAAUUUAGGGUAAACUUCAGAUACCACUCAUAUGGUUUCACAUUUUCUAGCUUUAAUAUCAUAUGGUUUAAAGUGUAUCAAGUUAGUGUCCUGUGGUUUUAUUUUUAUCUUUUCGUCAGUUUUUUCGUUAAUAUUUUGUUAAAUUAUAUACAAAAAAUUUUAGAUACUCCACCUAAAUUUAUUGAAUAUUCACUUUAGUACCCUUUAGUUUUGAUGUAUCAAGAGGAACGGCAGAGAGGAGGAAGAAGUUAUAUUCAACAUAUUUUAUGGGUAAUAAUUUCUACUUUAUUAUGAACAACUUCUACUUCAUAAUAUAUAGGGAAAACUUCAAAUACCCUCUUUGUACUUUCAUUUUUUCUCACUUUAGAAUCUUGUGGUUUAAAGUGUAUCAAGUUAGGACCCUGUGGUUUUGUACUUUUUUAUUUUAGUACCCUGUGGUUUAAAGUGUAUCAAGUUAGUACCCUGUGGUUUCGCACUUUCUCACUUUAGUACCCUGUAAUUUCGCACUUCUCACUUUAGUACCCUGUAGUUUAAAAACCACAGGGUACUAACUUGAUACAAAAAUAAAACCACAGAGUACUAACUUGAUAUAAAAAUAAAACCACAGGGUAUUAACUUGAUACAAAAAUAAAACCACAGAGUACUAAGAAGGUUAUUCAUUUAUGACCGUUCAUUUUUCUAACUCUUCGAUGAACUUGAUAAUAAUUUUUAAAUAUUACAAAAUUUGGUUUCUAAAUAUUUCUAAUUGUGUAGAUCAAUUUCAACGGUGCCGAUUAUUAAUUUGAAGUUUCGAUCAUUCAAAACGGCUUGAUAGGACAAUGUUCUCAAUCCUAUCAAUAGGAUAGUAGAUGGACUCUAUAUACAUAUUGUUAAUAUCUCAUAACAAAUUGUGAAAAACAUACUAGAACCUGUAGCUAGAGUAUCUAUCAACAAAGGCUUAAUUUUGCUUAGUUUAGCUUCAUAUCAUGCAAAGAAUUUAUACAUAUAUAGAGAGAGAGAGAGUUUAGCUUCAUAUCAUGCAAAGAAUAUAUAUAUAUAUUUUCCACUAAAUGCUUAAUCAUUAUUUCUUAUUCAGGUUGCCCACCUAAAAACAAUCAUGUGUUUCUUACGCAGGUUGACCACCUAAACAAUCAUGUGUCCCUGGGAAAGCCAUGUUGAGUGCCCCUUCGUUCUUCUAAGAUCAUACUACGAAGGAUACUAAUUAGUUUAAUUCACUCUCAGCUAAUAUGUAAUUAAUAUUACUUUAGUUUGUUGUUAAUUUGUGUAAAAAAUAUAUCCAAAAUAUCCAACGGGUCACUCGCAUUUUGGUUAUCCUCCGUGAAAAAGUUCAUUAGAGCUAAAGUGUGUGUAUUUCUUGCGAACAUUUUAUGCAAUUAAACAGUUUUUUUUUUUACCACAAUUCAUGUCGAUGUAUACUGUGGAGCUCGUGUCCGAGGGACCCUUCAUCCAAUGCAGGAUUUUUGGGCUGUUACAAACUCUCUUCGUUUAGAUCCUUACAUCUUUAUAUAGGUUUGAACCCUCACAUUUUUGACUAGUAUUCGGAUGCUAAUUAUAACGAUUCAAUCCACUAUCAAUAAUAACUCGUUGAGUCCAAGUCAACGGUUCAAAAUAUUUAAAUUCAGUUCUUAAUAUUACGAGAGUACGUGACCUCUUGCAUUUCUAAUUAAAAUUCUUUUUUAUUCUGACAUGCAUAAGUAUCGUUUGGUUCGAGAAUAAAUUUUUUUUGGUUAUUCCUGGGAUAGGUACAACUUUGGAUAUAAGCGGGAAUAAGAUCAAUUUUACGUUUGGAUGAAAAAUGGGUUAUUUUCAAGAAUAAAAAAAAUAGUGUUUGGAUAGUUAGAUAGGAAUAAUAGGAAUAAAAGUGAUUAUAGUAGUUAAAUAAUAAUAUUAUAUAUAAUUAAUUAACAUCAAAAUAUUAAAUAAAUGAUAUUUAAAAAAUUAAUUAACUAAUUUAUCAUGAAUAUUAUUAGAUAAUCAUAAAUAUUAAUUAAUAAAUUAAUUAUGAGAUUAAUUAAUCAUUAAUCAAUUAACCAUGAGCACCGUUAAUUAAUAGAUUAUCUAAUUAUAAAUAAUUUGACGAGUUAACAAAUUAAGCUAAUAAAUUAAUAUAUUAGUAAAUUGCUUAUUUAUUUAUUUAAUUAGGUAAUUAGUUAUAUUGGUCAAAAUAUUAAUUUAUUAAUCAAUAAAGAUAUUAGUUAUUACAUAAACACACUAAUAAAUAAUUAUUAAUUUAGCUAAUAUUUUAUUAUUAAAUUAGUUAAUUAUUAAUUUAGCUAAUUAAUUAAUAAAAUAAUAUAUAAUAUAUUAGUUAAUAAUAUUUUGUUAUUAAAUUAGUAGAGGUAUAAACAUAAGAAAUUGUUAUUCCACCAAAAAGAUAGAACAAUAAUUUCCCCCACUAAACGGGUUAUUCUAAAAUAACCCAUUAAGAGGGGAUUAAAUAAACUCAUUUCCUCUUUUAGUGUUUGGAUGAAUUAGAGAGAUAAAAUGCUCUAUUUCUACAUUAUCUCCCAACCAAACACUUUCUUAGAGAGUUUGUUUGGCUCAUCUCGUAAUGCUUUGUACUAUCGGACUUUCCAAAAGUAUCACCAAAUAGCGAGUUGUCACACCCACCGUAGGGCCCCAAGUCUAGAUUACACCAUUUGUUUCAAGUCAAUUAUUGAAACUUGAAAUUAUUCCACAACAGAUAUCGUGGUGCGCGCGUACAAUAUGUAUAGUUCAUGCAUAGAAAUUUCUUACUCACGAAGCCAACCUGCCACACUUUUACACAGAAUAAUUUCAUUACAAUUUGUCGGAUGUCGACGGCUGCGAAGCAUCCCACGAUAAGUAUGCGACGAAUAUAUUGUCCAAUGUGCAGAUUUUUUUUAACUCUAAUUCUGUAGACAAAUUAUAGUUGAUGAACUUAUUGAGCACCGUUUGGAAAAUUACUGCCGAAAAAUAAAACUUUAAUUUAAUAAUUUAGAAUUCAAAAUAAUAAAGAAAUGGUGUCGUGGUGUAGUUGGUUAUCACGUCAGUCUAACACACUGAAGGUCUCCGGUUCGAGUCCGGGCGACGCCAGUCUGCACUUUUUUUCUUUUAGUGAAAAGCUGGUAAAUUUUUUUUUAGAAAUGUUUGAUGGAAAACCAUUUACACGACACAGAUCUAUGUUUUAGUAAAAAAAUGGUUUUUCUAGGGAUUUUUUUAUUUUUUUUUUACCUCAUGAGAUCUGGGAAGAAAUUUUUUUUAUACUACACAGAUCUAUGUUUUAGUGAAAAACUGGUUUUUCUAGACUUUUUUUUUUUUUUUUACUUCAUGAAAUUUGGAAAUAAAAUUCUUUUACACUACACCGGAUCUAUGUUUUAGUGAAAAACUGGUUUUUCUAAGAAUCAGACGAACGGAAAAUACUUUUCUAGCCAAAAAAUUAUUUUUUUUUGAAAUAUUUUAUGGAAAACCGAACAUUCUCUUAGCUACCGUUUGGUUCGGGGUUAAGGAAAAAUUAGUUAUUCCAGGGAUAGGGUUAAGUUCAAGAUUAAGGUGGGGUUAGAGUAUUUUUGUGUUUGGUUGGGAGUUGGAGUUAGUCCAGGAUAGUGAAAAAUAGUGCUUGGUUGGAAUAGGUGGGAUAAGAAGGAUAGUGGGUUAUUAUGAAUAGAAAAUAGUAUUUGGUUUGGGUUAAGUGGGGUUAGCUAACCCGGGAUAGCCCAUUUGAGGUGGGGUUAGCUAACCCCACCUAUUUUUGGGGUGUUUGGGAAU